GUCUGUACAUCCGUUCGUUUGUUCGUCCGUCCGUCCGUGUCUGUCCCGCUUCAGGUUAAAGUUUUUGGUCGAGGUAGUUUAAGAUGAAGUUGAGCAUUUUUUUCUUAUUUUAAUAUAUAUGCAAGUGGUAUGACCCCUCAAUUAGUAAACAUUUCAAAGAAAACAGUAGACAGAAUCAGGGCCGACUUUCUAUACUAACAUA
This 202-nucleotide long non-coding RNA is filed under the name Mytilus galloprovincialis (Mediterranean mussel). The record is from RNAcentral. Lineage: Eukaryota; Metazoa; Mollusca; Bivalvia; Mytilida; Mytilidae.